CAGUAGCCGCGGGAAUACGAAGGGGGCUAGCGUUGCUCGGAAUCACUGGGCGUAAAGGGUGCGUAGGCGGGUCUUUAAGUCAGGGGUGAAAUCCUGGAGCUCAACUCCAGAACUGCCUUUGAUACUGAAGAUCAUGAGUUCGGGAGAGGUGAGUGGAACUGCGAGUGUAGAGGUGAAAUUCGUAGAUAUUCGCAAGAACACCAGUGGCGAAGGCGGCGACCUGUCCUUUACUGACGCUGAGGCACGAAAGCGUGGGAAGCAAACAGGAUUAGAUACCCCCGUAGUCCCUGUCUCUUAUACA
This 301-nucleotide ribosomal RNA is filed under the name uncultured bacterium. RNAcentral describes it as "partial 16S ribosomal RNA". It matches the Rfam family "Bacterial small subunit ribosomal RNA", at positions 509 to 808 of the family's 1533-position model. The record is from RNAcentral.